UACGUAGGGUGCGAGCGUUAAUCGGAAUUACUGGGCGUAAAGCGUGCGCAGGCGGUUCGUUAAGUUCGUCGUGAAAGCCCCGGGCUCAACCUGGGAAUGGCGAUGGAAACUGGCGGGCUGGAGUGUGGCAGAGGGGGGUGGAAUUCCGCGUGUAGCAGUGAAAUGCGUAGAGAUGCGGAGGAACACCGAUGGCGAAGGCAGCCCCCUGGGCCAACACUGACGCUCAGGCACGAGAGCGUGGGGAGCAAACAGG
Molecule: ribosomal RNA, 253 nt
Filed under: uncultured bacterium
Lineage: Bacteria
Description: partial 16S ribosomal RNA
Rfam family: Bacterial small subunit ribosomal RNA
Source: RNAcentral